GAUGAACGCUGGCGGCGUGCUUAACACAUGCAAGUCGAACGAGAAGUGGAGACGGACACCUUCGGGCGGAAGACUUUACUUCGAGUGGCGGACGGGUGAGUAACGCGUGGGUAACCUGCCUCAUACAGGGGGAUAACAGUUGGAAACGACUGUUAAUACCGCAUAAGACCACAGCACCGCAUGGUGCGGGGGUAAAAACUCCGGUGGUAUGAGAUGGACCCGCGUUCGAUUAGCCAGUUGGCGGGGUAACGGCCCACCAAAGCGACGAUCGAUAGCCGAUCUGAGAGGAUGACCGGCCACAUUGGGACUGAGACACGGCCCAAACUCCUACGGGAGGCAGCAGUGGGGAAUAUUGCACAAUGGGGGAAACCCUGAUGCAGCGACGCCGCGUGAGUGAAGAAGUAUUUCGGUAUGUAAAGCUCUAUCAGCAGGGAAGAAAAUGACAGUACCUGAGGAAGAAGCCCCGGCUAACUACGUG
Molecule: ribosomal RNA, 478 nt
Filed under: uncultured bacterium
Lineage: Bacteria
Description: partial 16S ribosomal RNA
Rfam family: Bacterial small subunit ribosomal RNA
Source: RNAcentral